Molecule: long non-coding RNA, 490 nt
Filed under: Rattus norvegicus (Norway rat)
Lineage: Eukaryota; Metazoa; Chordata; Mammalia; Rodentia; Muridae
Description: long non-coding RNA NONRATT023068
Source: RNAcentral
UUUUUCAGCUCUGACUGGCACUGUGUACCUUCUCUUGGUUCUUUGCGAAGUCUCAUGGGCCCAAAUCUUCUCCUUCCCUUUCCAGCGGCCGGAGACUUGCGAUCUCAACCAGUACUUCGACAUCUCGGCGCUCUCCUGUGCCCCCUGUGGAGCCAACCAGCGGAGGGACGCACUGGGAACUUCCUGUAUAUGUCUACCAGGAUAUCAUAUGAUUUCUAAUAAUGGAGGACCUUCCAUUAUUUGUAAAAAGUGUCCAGAAAACAUGAAAGGUGUUACCAAAGAUGGCUGGGACUGCAUUUCUUGCCCUAAUGGUUUAACUGCUGAGGGGAAGUGCCACUGUCCCAGUGGCCAUAUAUUAGAGUAUAUAAUACAACACUCACUCCUUUACAUCUUGUCCAGUGGAAAGAAAUGUUAGCGGGUCUUUGUUAUCCCAAGCAACUUGUGAGCUUUGUGAUGGAAAUGAAAACUCGUUUACAAAACCCAAUGCUUU